CUGACGGCUUGCCUAGAAGAAGUAGUUUCAAAUUGUAGCAAUGGUUUGUUGCCAAUGGAAACUUUGGCUGGAGGCUUCGUUUUGGAUCAAACGACAUCCACAAAUUUUUCACGUACACCAUCUCAUAAAUUAAAACCUGAUGAAAUUAUUUAUGUGGUAUAUUUGCAUAAUUUUGAGUCCUUGCUUUCGUCAGAUUGGUAGAGGAUUAUCGAUGUUGAAUGAAAUUUCGGA
RNAcentral lists this long non-coding RNA (231 nucleotides) under Capsicum annuum. RNAcentral's name for it is "long non-coding RNA (CANN_LNC010585)". Lineage: Eukaryota; Viridiplantae; Streptophyta; Magnoliopsida; Solanales; Solanaceae. The record is from RNAcentral.